This 374-nucleotide ribosomal RNA is filed under the name uncultured bacterium. RNAcentral describes it as "bacterial SSU rRNA". It matches the Rfam family "Bacterial small subunit ribosomal RNA", at positions 523 to 898 of the family's 1533-position model. The record is from RNAcentral.
AUAUGUAGGGGGCGAGCGUUAUCCGGAUUUACUGGGCGUAAAGCGCGGGCAGGCGGUGGUCCAAGUCGGACGUGAAAGCUCCCGGCUCAACUGGGAGAGGUCGUUCGAAACUGGGCCGCUAGAGGGCAGUAGAGGGGCGUGGAAUUCCGGGUGGAGUGGUGAAAUGCGUAGAGAUCCGGAGGAACACCAGAGGCGAAGGCGGCGCCCUGGGCUGCACCUGACGCUGAGCCGCGAAAGCUAGGGGAGCGAACGGGAUUAGAAACCCCGGUAGUCCUAGCCGUAAACGAUGUCCACUAGAUGUCUGGGCGGAGCGCCUAGGCGUCGCAGCUAACGCGUUAAGUGGACCGCCUGGGGAGUACGGCCGCAAGGCUAAA